RNAcentral lists this long non-coding RNA (301 nucleotides) under Populus tremula. RNAcentral describes it as "long non-coding RNA (PTRE_LNC001798)". The record is from RNAcentral. Lineage: Eukaryota; Viridiplantae; Streptophyta; Magnoliopsida; Malpighiales; Salicaceae.
AUGACUUCUAUGAAUUGUAGCUCCUCAACUGUCACUGGAAAAUCCCCAUCCUCCAUUGUCUCAGGGCCGUGUAGUGAAAAAAGUGUGUUGCUGCAAUCUGAGUUGAUCGAGAGUUCACAAUGGAAAUUGCCAUUCUCUUCCCCUGAAAAUUUAUCACUCAGCCACGGAUUUUUCUCUCACUCUUUGCCCAAGGGUUCUGCAACGUGGCCAGAGGAAAAUCUUCCUGCAAGCUCAUUGGUUGUAUCAUCUGCAAUGUGCAAAUCGCAGUGCAAGUUCUUGAAGAUGUCACGCCAGAGCAUGC